UUCUCGGUAGCUCAGCUGGUAGUGCAAACGACUAUUAAUCGUUGGGUUGCAGGUUCGAGUCCUACCCGAGGAG
This 73-nucleotide transfer RNA is filed under the name Candidatus Woesearchaeota archaeon. RNAcentral describes it as "tRNA-Asn". It matches the Rfam family "tRNA". Rfam says of the family: Transfer RNA (tRNA) molecules are approximately 80 nucleotides in length. Their secondary structure includes four short double-helical elements and three loops (D, anti-codon, and T loops). The record is from RNAcentral. Lineage: Archaea; Nanobdellati; Candidatus Woesearchaeota.